RNAcentral lists this long non-coding RNA (1028 nucleotides) under Piliocolobus tephrosceles (Ugandan red Colobus). Its description in RNAcentral is "lncRNA (ENSPTEG00000014634.1)". Lineage: Eukaryota; Metazoa; Chordata; Mammalia; Primates; Cercopithecidae. The record is from RNAcentral.
AUUUAUAAAAGAAAACCAAAUGCAUUACUCGUUUGAUGAAAUUGGUAACAGUAAUAUUAAUUAUAAUAAUUUUGCAAGUAUAGAAAGGGAGGGUACAUUUUUUUCUAAAAUUAAUAAUAUACAUAGUGGUGAAAGUGAAGAUAAAAAAAUUAAGCUGCAAAAAAAUAUGGAACCAGUCAUUAGUAGUAGCAACAGUAACAGCAACAGCGACAGCGAAAGUGACUACUACAGUGACUACGAAAAAUAUAAUAACCAAAAUCAAAAUAAAAACGAACCGUAUCUAACCAAACUAACCAACCUAGUCCACAAAGAAAACGAAUGCAAAGCAAACAUUAUUGAUAUGAAAAAAAGAAAAAUAUGGAAUACAGUUUUAUUUCUUAAUUCGAUACCCAAUUUAAAUAGUAUGUCUCAUAUAGAUAAAUAUAAUGGCACAUAUAACAAUUUAAAAGAUUCUAGUUUUGAGAAAUAUUAUAUAAAUAAAAAACUAAACACUUAUAUAGCCAAUAUCUUAGAUAUAAAUGAUAAAACAUAUUUAAAAAAAAAUAGUAUUUUUUUAUUGAUAAACGGAAAUGAUAUAAAAUAUAUUGAUAAUGUAAUAGUGUGCUAUAAAAAAAACAUGAAAAAUAACUUUUUUUUUUUUAUUGACGCUUUUGAUCUAAAUCUAAAAUUAGAAUACAAUAAAGUAAAAUAUAAAUAUAUAAAUAAAAAAGGUGAUACUUAUGUAUUCUUAAUAAAAGUUCUAUAUUAUAACAAAACUAUGCACCUGGUAUUAGUAGAUUAUAUGAGGGGUGUCCACGAUCCUAUGAAAUUAGCCAUUCCUUUUUUUUAUUUAACAUCACAUCCCGCUUUUUCUUCAUUUACGCAUUUUAUAAUUAAAGACAAUUUUUUGGGCUGGAUCCACAAUCCGAAUUCCAUACAUAUAAAUAACAUGGCACGCAUAACUAAAUAUUUCAGAGAGUAAUCAAUCGAGUAGAUAUAUAUAUAUAUAUAUAUAUAUAUANNNNNNNNNNNNNNNNNNNNNNNNNNNN